CUACGUAGGGUGCGAGCGUUAAUCGGAAUUACGGGGCGUAAAGCGUGCGCAGGCGGUUUUGUAAGACAGGCGUGAAAUCCCCGGGCUCAACCUGGGAAUGGCGCUUGUGACUGCAAGGCUAGAGUGCGUCAGAGGGGGGUAGAAUUCCACGUGUAGCAGUGAAAUGCGUAGAGAUGUGGAGGAAUACCGAUGGCGAAGGCAGCCCCCUGGGACGAGACUGACGCUCAUGCACGAAAGCGUGGGGAGCAAACAGGAUUAGAGACCCCUGUAGUCC
RNAcentral lists this ribosomal RNA (274 nucleotides) under uncultured bacterium. RNAcentral's name for it is "partial 16S ribosomal RNA". It matches the Rfam family "Bacterial small subunit ribosomal RNA", at positions 523 to 796 of the family's 1533-position model. The record is from RNAcentral.